CGUGCCUAAUACAUGCAAGUCGAGCGAACGGACGAGAAGCUUGCUUCUCUGAUGUUAGCGGCGGACGGGUGAGUAACACGUGGAUAACCUACCUAUAAGACUGGGAUAACUUCGGGAAACCGGAGCUAAUACCGGAUAAUAUUUUGAACCGCAUGGUUCAAAAGUAAAAGACGGUCUUGCUGUCACUUAUAGAUGGAUCCGCGCUGCAUUAGCUAGUUGGUAAGGUAACGGCUUACCAAGGCAACGAUGCAUAGCCGACCUGAGAGGGUGAUCGGCCACACUGGAACUGAGACACGGUCCAGACUCCUACGGGAGGCAGCAGUAGGGAAUCUUCCGCAAUGGGCGAAAGCCUGACGGAGCAACGCCGCGUGAGUGAUGAAGGUCUUCGGAUCGUAAAACUCUGUUAUUAGGGAAGAACAUAUGUGUAAGUAACUGUGCACAUCUUGACGGUACCUAAUCAGAAAGCCACGGCUAACUACGUGCCAGCAGCCGCGGUAAUACGUAGGUGGCAAGCGUUAUCCGGAAUUAUUGGGCGUAAAGCGCGCGUAGGCGGUUUUUUAAGUCUGAUGUGAAAGCCCACGGCUCAACCGUGGAGGGUCAUUGGAAACUGGAAAACUUGAGUGCAGAAGAGGAAAGUGGAAUUCCAUGUGUAGCGGUGAAAUGCGCAGAGAUAUGGAGGAACACCAGUGGCGAAGGCGACUUUCUGGUCUGUAACUGACGCUGAUGUGCGAAAGCGUGGGGAUCAAACAGGAUUAGAUACCCUGGUAGUCCACGCCGUAAACGAUGAGUGCUAAGUGUUAGGGGGUUUCCGCCCCUUAGUGCUGCAGCUAACGCAUUAAGCACUCCGCCUGGGGAGUACGACCGCAAGGUUGAAACUCAAAGGAAUUGACGGGGACCCGCACAAGCGGUGGAGCAUGUGGUUUAAUUCGAAGCAACGCGAAGAACCUUACCAAAUCUUGACAUCCUUUGACAACUCUAGAGAUAGAGCCUUCCCCUUCGGGGGACAAAGUGACAGGUGGUGCAUGGUUGUCGUCAGCUCGUGUCGUGAGAUGUUGGGUUAAGUCCCGCAACGAGCGCAACCCUUAAGCUUAGUUGCCAUCAUUAAGUUGGGCACUCUAAGUUGACUGCCGGUGACAAACCGGAGGAAGGUGGGGAUGACGUCAAAUCAUCAUGCCCCUUAUGAUUUGGGCUACACACGUGCUACAAUGGACAAUACAAAGGGCAGCGAAACCGCGAGGUCAAGCAAAUCCCAUAAAGUUGUUCUCAGUUCGGAUUGUAGUCUGCAACUCGACUACAUGAAGCUGGAAUCGCUAGUAAUCGUAGAUCAGCAUGCUACGGUGAAUACGUUCCCGGGUCUUGUACACACCGCCCGUCACACCACGAGAGUUUGUAACACCCGAAGCCGGUGGAGUAACCUUUUAGGAGCUAGCCGUCGAAGGUGGGACAAAUGAUUGGGGUGAAGUCGUAACAAGGUAGCCGUAUCGGAAGGUGCGGCUGGAUCACCU
This 1505-nucleotide ribosomal RNA is filed under the name Staphylococcus aureus DAR5887. RNAcentral's name for it is "16S ribosomal RNA". It matches the Rfam family "Bacterial small subunit ribosomal RNA". Lineage: Bacteria; Bacillati; Bacillota; Bacilli; Caryophanales; Staphylococcaceae. RNAcentral also lists the same sequence under 2 other names. The record is from RNAcentral.